This is a long non-coding RNA of Aegilops tauschii subsp. strangulata, 1791 nucleotides long. RefSeq lists it as uncharacterized. The record is from RefSeq and is a predicted model, not a curated record. Lineage: Eukaryota; Viridiplantae; Streptophyta; Magnoliopsida; Poales; Poaceae.
UCUAGUCUUUGUGAUGGGUCAGUUUGAUGGUUUGCCGCGGGGGCACUUUGUUCUGUUCAAGUCCUGUUUAGUUGGUUGUUAAACCAUAUAUCACUUAAAUAUGCAAACAUGCUACUUAAGCAAAAAAAAAAAGAGACUACUUUGUGUUAUUUCAUCAAUUACUUCAUUGCAUUGUCUGUUAGUUUAGAAAGUGGAAAACUACAUUGCGCCAUUUUACAACUCCCUUCUUUUGUGGUGUUCUCUAAUUGCCUUCCAAUUUCCUAAUGCUAGCCCAGUGCUGUUAUUUACUCCCUCCGUCCCAUAAUAUAAGAGUGUUUUGACACUACACUACACUAGUGUCAAAAAUGCUCUUAUAUUAUGGGACGGAAGGAGUAGCUUGCAAUGCUGGUGGUCCUCGCCAUGGAGAAAUAAGGAACCUGAAAGAGCUGAACAAUGUUUAAUCUCUUCAUAUGUAAACAUGGAUAUUGUAAGUUGUUCCCCUCAUGUAUGAAGACAUUUCAUGUGGCUAAUGCCAGUAGCCCAAUAGACUGUCACUAUCUCAACUUAGAUAUUUCAGAUAUUUUUAGUAACCACACUAUUCUGUAAGUACUUAAUCACGACAGUUCCUCAUGGUGCAAUGUUACUGAGAUGUUUUCUUGGUGUUUCACCCAACAAUUAAUUUAUUGAACCUGUUAAGAAAAUAUUUAUACGGCUUAACUGAACUCUAGGUAAAGUACCCUUAGGUGCGUAUAUUGUUCCAUGAUUGAAGGAAGUUAAACAACCAAAUGUGCUCAUGCAAUUGCUAUUCCUUUGGAGUCAUCAGCAAAUGUUCAGAGUUCAGACUAAAUUUGAUAUGUCUUUUAGUUCUACUCGAAAAGAUGAAUAAGAUACCCAGUCCAUUCAAGGAACUGCAAAUCGAAAACAUACGUCGAGUGGACACACAAAUAUCUUAGUUGCAGUCAAAAUCAGGGGCAUCAGGCUCACAAUUUUCUCCUUUUUCAGUAGUCAAAAGUGAAAGGGCAUGUUACACCUAUUUUGUCCAUAGGUGUACUUGUUCUCGUAGAAAAAAGCUUGGGCAUGUUGUAUGUGCAAAUAUGAAAUAUGUAACAUUGUCCCCGCUUAAUUUGUUGCAGAAUAGACGAGCAGAUGCAAGGAUAUGAUGCAUGGAGGGCGUUGGCUAACCACAGUCGUGUUGGUAUCGAUUUGCUAUGUUGUCUCAAGAUGCCCCUGCCCCUUGUGUUAAGGGUAGAUAUGCGAUGAACCCACUGGUAAACUACCUGAUCCUCAAGUUCUGGGAGGAGUCUACUCCUCUUGCGCAUCAGUGUGAUGAGUUUUCGUGAGCUCAUGGGGGACCAAGGCGAGGUUGGCCUCCUGGAGUUCUUCCGGAGCGGGCGGGCGCAUCUGUUUCCAUGGCCAAUAAUCCAUGGAAACAAGGCAAGGAAAUCCUGGAAAAUGGUUGUCCGUGGGAGUACCGGCCCUGCAGGGGGUGAAGUUUGCAACUUGAAACACGGGGCAGAUGUCUCUUUCGAUGGUCAGCUGAGCUUUGUUUCUGCGGAGAAGUGGAUUGAUUGUAUUCUGAUGCAAGCUGCGGUGUCUGUCUGACUCUGUUGCUGGCCGUUCCCUUGCGAUGGUCUGUCAAAUUUGAGGCCUAAUCAGCUUGCCGUGUAACCUGCGUUAUCAGUUUCCCUGUCCAUCUACGGUCCUUGAACAACUUCAUUUGCGGCAACAUGUUUCAUUGCUUUUCCAUGUAAGAUUUGCCUGCUGUAUCUAUCAGCAAACAAACUUGAAUAAAAUUCACCACUCGCCAGCAAA